RNAcentral lists this ribosomal RNA (497 nucleotides) under uncultured bacterium. RNAcentral describes it as "partial 16S ribosomal RNA". It matches the Rfam family "Bacterial small subunit ribosomal RNA", at positions 28 to 507 of the family's 1533-position model. The record is from RNAcentral.
GAUGAACGCUGGCGGUGUGCCUAAUACAUGCAAGUCGAGCGAACAGAUAAGGAGCUUGCUCCUUUGACGUUAGCGGCGGACGGGUGAGUAACACGUGGGUAACCUACCUAUAAGACUGGAAUAACUCCGGGAAACCGGGGCUAAUGCCGGAUAACAUUUAGAACCGCAUGGUUCUAAAGUGAAAGAUGGUUUUGCUAUCACUUAUAGAUGGACCCGCGCCGUAUUAGCUAGUUGGUAAGGUAACGGCUUACCAAGGCAACGAUACGUAGCCGACCUGAGAGGGUGAUCGGCCACACUGGAACUGAGACACGGUCCAGACUCCUACGGGAGGCAGCAGUAGGGAAUCUUCCGCAAUGGGCGAAAGCCUGACGGAGCAACGCCGCGUGAGAGAUGAAGGUCUUCGGAUCGUAAAACUCUGUUAUUAGGGAAGAACAAAUGUGUAAGUAACUGUGCACGUCUUGACGGUACCUAAUCAGAAAGCCACGGCUAACUACGUG